GCCCACGCCAGAGCAGCCGUCAGUCUGGCUCCUGCUGGCGCUGCCGCGGGUCUAGUCCCUGCUGGCGCUGCCGCAGGUCUACCCACUGCUGGCGCAGCAACCACCGGCGUCGACGCGCGCCUGGCUGCCAGCCCCUACAUGCCUAGCGCCACUGCUGCGGCCAGCGCACGCGCUGCUGACCUUGCCCCCUUCGGGCUCGGCCUACCGGGCUACCCGGCGUCUACUGGCGCCCUUACCGGUCUUCUAUCGCCGACCCGCCUCCCCAGGCAGCCACCCCCUGGGUUCUCCACCACUCGUCCGCUCGUCGCCGAUGCCACCUGGGCUUCCCCGACGCUCUCCACCGACUCCACCAUGUCAUCGCC
Molecule: unclassified non-coding RNA, 362 nt
Filed under: Zea mays
Lineage: Eukaryota; Viridiplantae; Streptophyta; Magnoliopsida; Poales; Poaceae
Description: misc RNA Zm00001eb097560
Source: RNAcentral